This is an RNA transcript of Poecilia latipinna (sailfin molly), 1920 nucleotides long. It is a transcript of the gene named nicotinamide riboside kinase 1-like, with no coding region annotated. The transcript is spliced from 9 exons. The record is from RefSeq and is a predicted model, not a curated record. NCBI's taxonomy places the organism in Eukaryota, Metazoa, Chordata, Actinopteri, Cyprinodontiformes, Poeciliidae.
GGGCGGAAACGAGUGACAGAGAGGAGGGUUGUGUUUGUGUAGGUAAACAAUGCGGUUGUUUCUUAGUUAAACGUGAGUUUUUUUUUGUUAUUUUCUUAUAACUAGAGACACACAUCAGUAGUUUUGCCGUGAGCUUUUGCAAAUGAAGACUAUAAUUGUUGGAGUUGGUGGGGUAACCAAUGGAGGAAAAUCUACCCUCUCCCAAUUUCUUCACCAGAAAAUACACAACAGCUGCAUCAUUGCUCAGGAUACUUAUUUCAAAGAUGACUUUGUUGUACCAGUGGACAGUAACGGCUUCAAGCAAUAUGACACGCUUGAUGCUCUUCACAUGGAGGAGAUGAUGAAGGAGGUUUGCUCCUGGAAAAAAGACCCUCAUGAGUUCCUGAGGCAGCGGGGCCUGAUAGCCAAAGAUUCAUCCACCGAUGACGAACUUUACGUUCUGAUAGUGGAAGGUUUCCUCAUUUUCAACCACAGGCCUUUAAAUGAGAUGUUUGACAUGAGAUAUUUUUUGGAAAUACCUUAUGACGUCUGCAAGAUGAGACGAAGCAUGAGGGUGUAUGCGCCUCCAGACCCUCCAAACUACUUUGAUGGAUACGUGUGGCCAAUGUACCUUCAAAACCGCGAGGAGAUGGAGAGAAUCACUUCAGAAAUUGGUGCUGCAUGCUUAUGCUGUUUUUGCAGUUUUUCUGGAUGGUCUGAAGCCAAAGGACGAGGUUUUAGCUGCUGUUUAUGAAGACAUUCAUAAAGAAAUAGCCAGACUCCAGGGGGGAAGAUCCGUCCUUAUAUAGCAGCAGCUGGGGAUCAAGGUGAAGAUGAUCAGGUGUGAGUGGUCAAAGCUCAGCAGCCGCUGUGACAGAUUCCUGUGAUGGACAAAGCUGAUGUGAUCGACAUUUAUCUGGAUGGCAGACAGUGUCUUCUAAUGGAGUGAUGUGAGACUGAAAGUACCAACCGUUUUACUGGUGCUGUUUCAAAGACUUUUGGUUACUGUUGAUUUUGAUCUCCUUCAAAUAGGUUUGUUUCAACACUUUAUGCAGAUGCUUCAUCCCCCAGACUUAAGGGUUUCCCACCUUACAAUUUCAUUAUUGCAAAAGAAAAAGUGAUGUUCACUAAAAAUGUUACUGCUUUCAGUAAGGUGGAUUAUAAUUUCUUUAAAAAACAAAAACUCUUUAAAAGGUGCUUAUGAGAAGAAACUGAUCAAAGAUUGUCUGUUGUUAUUCUUCUGUUGCCUGAAGCUGACAUUUCCACCAUCAGUUAGUGGAUUUUACAAAAACAUUAACUUUGUUUCACACUUGAUCCUUGUUUUUUUACUGACAUGAUCCCAAAAAAGUUCAACAUAUAUCAAGAAAUAGUAUUGCAGCUCUAUAAUAUCAGCUUGUAAUCCUUUUAUUUUGCUAUCAUCCGUGAGAUUGGUUUAAUCUUUGACUAUUGAAUCAAUAAAACUCACCAGUCUUGAAUUUAUGAGCCUAUAAAUCAUUAAAGAUUCACCCAGCUUUAUUCUAAGACUUAGAUUACAUUCCCUUGGAUGUUUUUGAAAGCAAAAUAAAUUUUAAAUGUUUCCUCUGACCUCUUUAAAGGCCUUUACUAAAUCUGAUCUGGGGUCAGAAAAAAAAAAGCUACAGUUGCCAUGGAGACCAAAAUGCUGUCAACUAAAUCAGUCAACUUUAUGCAGUGAGUGAACCAGUCCCUCUCAGAUUGUUAGUGUAUUGCUUCUCUUAGAACCCAAAUAAAACAAAAAUGUUGACCAAAUUAUAACAGUUACUCUUUUUGAUAUAAGAAGUAUCUAAUUAAAGCUUUUAAUUAUUUGGUGGUUCAUAUUCUCCAGCAUAAUAUUCGUCUGAUUAUUUUAGAUCAGUUUUAAUUCAUGUUUUUGUUCUGUUGUCAAAGGUUGUUUUUGAAAAAUAAAUUAAUGUCUACAGUAAA